CAGUAGCCGCGGGAAAACGUAGGUGGCAAGCGUUAUCCGGAAUUAUUGGGCGUAAAGCGCGCGUAGGCGGUUUUUUAAGUCUGAUGUGAAAGCCCAUGGCUCAACCGUGGAGGGUCAUUGGAAACUGGAAAACUUGAGUGCAGAAGAGGAAAGUGGAAUUCCAUGUGUAGCGGUGAAAUUCGCAGAGAUAUGGAGGAACACCAGUGGCGAAGGCGACUUUCUGGUCUGUAACUGACGCUGAUGUGCGAAAGCGUGGGGAUCAAACAGGAUUAGAUACCCGAGUAGUCCCUGUCUCUUAUAC
RNAcentral lists this ribosomal RNA (301 nucleotides) under uncultured bacterium. RNAcentral describes it as "partial 16S ribosomal RNA". It matches the Rfam family "Bacterial small subunit ribosomal RNA", at positions 509 to 807 of the family's 1533-position model. The record is from RNAcentral.